This 417-nucleotide long non-coding RNA is filed under the name Mytilus galloprovincialis (Mediterranean mussel). Lineage: Eukaryota; Metazoa; Mollusca; Bivalvia; Mytilida; Mytilidae. The record is from RNAcentral.
GUAAUGAACUUUGUAUACGGUUGUCAAGAUGUCACAAAAGUUACUUUCCGUAAAGUCAUUCAAAAUAUUUGCAUUCAGGUUGUUUUAUUUUCACAUUGUACAAUUGUAAACAAUGCAACUUGCAAACAAUCGUUUCUGAAACGACCAUAAGUCAAGCUGUUACGUCAUUUAGGAGGUCUCCUUAUAAACUGCUACUUUUUUUUGCCCGACAUAGAAAAAAUUUGGGAAAAAUUACAAAAAUCGAGAAAUGAAUUGUCAAUCGAUUAAGACCAUUCCCAAAGUGGCACACCUAAAUUUGACAUUUAGACGCAACUUCAAAGUUGGAUGUUAUAUGACGGGGUUUUGUUAAUUAAUUUACGCAUCGAACACACCCGUCCUAUAUAUGUAACAUCACAGACUUUUAAGUGAUUAAAACUG